GACGAACGCUGGCGGCGUGCUUAACACAUGCAAGUCGAACGGAAAGGCCCUGCUUUUGUGGGGUGCUCGAGUGGCGAACGGGUGAGUAACACGUGUGUAACCUGCCCUUGACUUUGGGAUAACUUCAGGAAACUGGGGCUAAUACCGGAUAGGAGCGCCUGCUGCAGGGUGGGGGUUGGAAAGUUUCGGCGGUUGGGGAUGGACUCGCGGCUUAUCAGCUUGUUGGUGGGGUAGUGGCUUACCAAGGCUUUGACGGGUAGCCGGCCUGAGAGGGUGACCGGCCACAUUGGGACUGAGAUACGGCCCAGACUCCUACGGGAGGCAGCAGUGGGGAAUAUUGCACAAUGGGCGGAAGCCUGAUGCAGCAACGCCGCGUGCGGGAUGACGGCCUUCGGGUUGUAAACCGCUUUCGCCUGUGACGAAGCGUGAGUGACGGUAAUGGGUAAAGAAGCACCGGCUAACUACGUG
Molecule: ribosomal RNA, 468 nt
Filed under: uncultured bacterium
Lineage: Bacteria
Description: partial 16S ribosomal RNA
Rfam family: Bacterial small subunit ribosomal RNA
Source: RNAcentral